RNAcentral lists this ribosomal RNA (818 nucleotides) under Tricladium curvisporum. RNAcentral describes it as "eukaryotic LSU rRNA". It matches the Rfam family "Eukaryotic large subunit ribosomal RNA", at positions 71 to 908 of the family's 3401-position model. The record is from RNAcentral. Lineage: Eukaryota; Fungi; Ascomycota; Leotiomycetes; Helotiales; Tricladiaceae.
GGGAUUACCUCAGUAACGGCGAGUGAAGCGGUAACAGCUCAAAUUUGAAAGCUGGCUCUUUUAGGGUCCGCGUUGUAAUUUGUAGAAGAUGCUUCGGGUGUGGCCCCGGUCUAAGUUCCUUGGAACAGGACGUCAUAGAGGGUGAGAAUCCCGUAUGUGACUGGGUGCCUUCGCUCAUGUGAAGCUCUUUCGACGAGUCGAGUUGUUUGGGAAUGCAGCUCAAAAUGGGUGGUAAAUUUCAUCUAAAGCUAAAUAUUGGCCAGAGACCGAUAGCGCACAAGUAGAGUGAUCGAAAGAUGAAAAGCACUUUGGAAAGAGAGUUAAACAGUACGUGAAAUUGUUGAAAGGGAAGCGCUUGCAACCAGACUUGCGCGCUGAUGAUCAUCCGGGCUUCUGCCCGGUGCACUCGUCUGCGCUCAGGCCAGCAUCGGUUUCGGUGGUGGGAUAAAGGCCUUGGGAAUGUAGCUCCUCUCGGGGAGUGUUAUAGCCCUCGGUGCAAUGCCGCCUACCGGGACCGAGGACCGCGCUUCGGCUAGGAUGCUGGCGUAAUGGUUGUAAGCGACCCGUCUUGAAACACGGACCAAGGAGUCUAACAUCUAUGCGAGUGUUUGGGUGUCAAACCCAUACGCGUAAUGAAAGUGAACGGAGGUGAGAACCCUUAAGGGUGCAUCAUCGACCGGUCCUGAUGUCUUCGGAUGGAUCUGAGUAAGAGCAUAGCUGUUGGGACCCGAAAGAUGGUGAACUAUGCGUGAAUAGGGUGAAGCCAGAGAAACUCUGGUGGAGCUCGCAGCGGUUCUGACGUGCAAAUCGAUCGUCAA